Long non-coding RNA from Humulus lupulus (European hop), 595 nucleotides. RefSeq lists it as uncharacterized. The record is from RefSeq and is a predicted model, not a curated record. The transcript is spliced from 3 exons. Lineage: Eukaryota; Viridiplantae; Streptophyta; Magnoliopsida; Rosales; Cannabaceae.
UCUCUCUCCUCUGCGUAUUACUGUUUCCGACGACGCAGGAGUACUUUCCGGCCACCAUUUUUAGCCACGCUGCGGACCGUUGGAUUCAGAGGCCUCCGAACUAUCGACCCACGCGGGAAUCUAGAGCUCACUCGCCGAUUAAACGCCUCAACCACUCAAUUUAAGUUCGGCCACCCCGCGACUUCAAAGUUGCGAUUCGGCCACCUCGGGCAUCCGUUUGCCGAUCCGUCACCACCAUCGUGUUCCUCGUGUUGUGGGCUUCAAAACCCAAUAACUUGUUCCUACAUCUACCAUAGUUGGGUGGUGGGCCCACCACGAGCCACCGCGAUCCACCGUAGACCGACGGUCGAAACUUAGUGUUCGGGGUUUUGAAGUACGUUUUGAGUCUCAGAAAAUCAUCGUUUGACUUGUUGUGGAACCCGAUCACUUUGGAUUUGUAUGGAUUUAAUUGAUUGACUCUUGGUGAGCCGUUUUAAAAUAAGCUAAGGACCUAAGGUGUGGCUUUAGCUGUUGAGCAACUUGUGGAGCACGGACUCAGUAGCAAUACAAUAAUGGUUUAGAGUUUUCAUAUGGCUGCCUUAAAUUUAAAGUAUUC